This is a long non-coding RNA of Astatotilapia calliptera (eastern happy), 921 nucleotides long. The record is from Ensembl. Lineage: Eukaryota; Metazoa; Chordata; Actinopteri; Cichliformes; Cichlidae.
GACAGUGGCUGGUAUUGGUGUUCUGAAGGGGACAUUCAGAUACCAGUAUAUUUAAAUGUUACUGAGAAACCGAUUAAGAGUGAGUAUUGCAAGUUAUCAAAGAUUUUACAUGUAAAUGAAUUCAAUACUUUUAUAAAUAUUUGUACUUUAGGUUUGUAACUGUUACAGUACUCUUGUUAUAAUGUUCUACUAUGUUCUACUUCUAUAUCUACUACUCAUACUGUUGCCAUAAGUGAAACAAUUAUCAAAAUGGAACAAUUCUACAGUACAAGAAAAUAAAGAACACAGAGCUUCAUAUGACACAAAGAUCCUCAUCAUCCCUCUGAGUGUGUUGGUCUUGAUUUUAAUUAUGGUGUUGAUCUGGUUUAUACUGAGUCACAAGAAGCGCAAAGUAGAAUUAUCAGCGACAGCAAUGACUGGAGAGGAUGUAAGAUACUCUGAAAUUGGACUCAAAGAAAAUAGUUCACCCAGGGUGGACAAAGAAGUGAUAUACUCUGAAAUUAAACCUAAGAAAAAAAGUUCAACCAAGAGUUUAUUUGCUGAAUGUGACGUGGAACUCACGUAUAGUUCUGUUGUUAAGAAACAGCGCAUUAAAUGGGAUGAAGGAAAUUAUACAGAAGUUUCGGAGCAUUAGAGCAUAUUAGCUAACAAGCGUUGAAAUGUGCAAACAUUAAAAUCUUUUUGCAGUUUUUACUUUUUUAUCUGUACCUAUAUUACUGAAGUAUUGUCAGAUAAAUGCUGCAAUGUGUCAGGUUGUGAUGUAGUAGCUUUUUUCUUCUCCUUUUAACUGCUUUGUAACAAAUUUUAUUCUGCAUAGCUGCAGAUUUAUUCAAAGAAGCAUUGGCCAGUUUGCUUGUUCUUUUUCAAGAUCAUUGAUGUGAUUCUUAGUUUUGUAAUAAAAAGGGAUUGUAAUCAUCAGCA